RNAcentral lists this long non-coding RNA (1072 nucleotides) under Sorghum bicolor (sorghum). RNAcentral's name for it is "long non-coding RNA (SBIC_LNC000375)". Lineage: Eukaryota; Viridiplantae; Streptophyta; Magnoliopsida; Poales; Poaceae. The record is from RNAcentral.
UGGUAUUUUAUUUAUUACCAUAAGAUGGCAUUAGUAGUACUAGUAGCUAAUGUGGGUGAUUAGGGAGGGUGCCUGCCUAUUAUUCCACCCCUUAACAAGGCAUCAUCAAUCAUUAUCCUCGGCCAGGCAGAUCAUGGGGUGAUGUAGGUGGGAUCGUGUGCCACCUGGAGGGAAAGAUUCCUCCUCUUUCUUCUACCCUUAAUUUCAGCAAUUGCCAGCACUUGUGCAGUGCUACACGCACCCGGUCGUCACCACAGUAAAUAUUAGUACUACACAUACUACUGCAAAUCUAGGCGCGUGAUUGCCCAAGUUAGUUUCUACUAUUCUCCAAUAGUGGCACCCAACAUAUCCAUUACCUAUAUGAAAUGUUAUGUUGUAUACAAGGAAUAUAGUGCAGGAUCAUUUAUAGUUAUUAAUUGUAUAUACAUAGAAUUUAAAUUUUUAUCUCUAAGCUGAAUUAUGCUCGUUAGAAUGAGUGCAGUUUGGAUAUGUUCAAACAGACAGAUCACUCAUUCUUUGUGCAAGUUCUUAGAUUGUGAGAAUGGAACAUGAUGUGCUAUUUGAUCUAAUGAUGAUCCUGUGGCUUGCACAAAUAAAACUUCGUCUCAAAAGGAGAUGUCAUUUAUUAAAAGAUUGUGCGCAUACUCCAUAUAUUUUUGAGCUAUUGGAAUCGUCAUAGUUUCUGAAAGUCAUUUGUAUGCUAACAUGUAGCUAUACGGUCAUGGUUAACCUGCAUAAAACCAUAAUUACUAUGCAAUUCAUGCUAUUCCAUAUGACAUAACAAAUCACUCUUGCAGUCCUUUUAGAGUUUUAUACAUCAUAUGUGCAGUUUCUAGAGGUGUUCUCUUACUACAAUAAAAUUUAUACCACUGCAGAUGUAAGAAAAUCAUGUACAAACAAGUUACAGACAUAGUGAUAUCUAGGUUCUACUCAAGCAUUUUGAUUCAACGGGUUGGAGGAUAUGCUCAAACCGGAGGCGGUAGUCAAAGUUUUGACUUAAUUAUAUUAAAACUUUAAAAAAGGAAUCUCGCAUAGAAAAAACGUGUAUAAAGAUGGAGAAAUUGAUGACUGU